GAUGAACGCUAGCUACAGGCUUAACACAUGCAAGUCGAGGGACCGGCGCACGGGUGAGUAACACGUAUCCAACCUGCCCUUUACCCGGGGAUCGCCUUUCGAAAGAAAGAUUAAUACCCUAUAUAAAGGAUGGGGAUGCGUUCCAUUAGGUUGUUGGUGAGGUAACGGCUCACCAAGCCUUCGAUGGAUAGGGGUUCUGAGUGGAAGGUCCCCCACAGUGGAACUGAGGCACGGUCCAAACUCCUACGCGAGGCAGCAGUGAGGAAUAUGGGGCAGUGGGCGCUAGCCUGAACCAGCCGCGUAGCGUAAAGGAUGAAGGCUUAUGGGUCGUAAACUUCUUUUAUAGAAGAAUCUGUAUUAUAUGAAUAAGCACCGGCUAACUUCGUGCCAGCCGCCGCGGUAAUAC
RNAcentral lists this ribosomal RNA (406 nucleotides) under uncultured bacterium. RNAcentral's name for it is "partial 16S ribosomal RNA". It matches the Rfam family "Bacterial small subunit ribosomal RNA", at positions 28 to 526 of the family's 1533-position model. The record is from RNAcentral.